UACGUAGGGGGCUAGCGUUGUCCGGAAUCAUUGGGCGUAAAGCGCGUGUAGGCGGCCUUGUAAGUCCGUUCUGAAAGCCCGGGGCUCAACCCCGGGAGGCGGAUGGAUACUGCAAGGCUCGAGUCCGGAAGAGGCGAGUGGAAUUCCCGGUGUAGCGGUGAAAUGCGCAGAUAUCGGGAGGAACACCAGCGGCGAAGGCGGCGCUCUGGGCCGGUACUGACGCUGAGGAGCGAAAGCGUGGGGAUCAAACAGG
This 253-nucleotide ribosomal RNA is filed under the name uncultured bacterium. Its description in RNAcentral is "partial 16S ribosomal RNA". It matches the Rfam family "Bacterial small subunit ribosomal RNA", at positions 524 to 776 of the family's 1533-position model. The record is from RNAcentral.